CCUGAUGGAACCUCAGGCCAAGUGGCUCUCAGGAGCUGGAGAGAGCAGUUUUCUUCUCUCCCCCAAGUAUAGCAUUUGGGACAGUGAGCAAAUAGUGUCAUGUGAUUAAGUGAUACUAUAACACUGAAAACUUGCCCUAAUGGCUUCAGUGUCAUUUACUCAUACAUCGCAAGCACUGCUAUGGCCACUAUGAAACGCCACUAUCUUGGGGGCAUCAACUGUUUAUUUUUUAUUUUAUUUUAUUUUAUUUUAUUAUUUUAUUUUUCGCAUCAACUGUUAAAAAAAAAAAGAGGAUGGUGUUCAACUCAGAGGAGUCUUUGAUGGACUUUCAGGCACUACGACAGAGUGAAGAAUCCCAGUUAAGAUUCCACCCACAGCAAAUUCAAUGGCACAGUCAAGGCUAAGAAUGAGAAACCUGGCAUCAGUGGAAAGCCCACCUCCAUCCUUCAGGAGCAAGAUCCGACCAACAUCAAAUGGGGUGAUGCUGGUCCUGGGUGCCUUGUGGAGUCCACUGGAGUCUUCACCACUGUGGAGAAGGCUGGGGCUCACUUGAAGGGGUAGGGCCAAGAGGGUCAUCAUGUCUGGCCCUUCUGCUAAUACUUCCAUGUUUGUGAUGAGCAUGUACUACGAGAAGUAUGACAACUCCCUCGAGAUUAUCAGUAAUGCCUCCUGCACCACCAGCUGCUUGGUUCCUCUGGCCAAGGUCAUCUGUGACAACCACGGCAUGGUGGAGGGACUGAGGACCAUAUUCCAAAUCUUACUGCCACCCUCCCCCUCCCCACCAAAGCGAUGGUAUGGUAGUUGAGGGGCUGCCCGGAACAUUAUCCCUCCUUCUACUGGUACUGCCAAGGCAAGGUCAUCUCCGAGGUGAAUGGGAAGCUCACUGGCAUGGCCUUCCAUGUUCCCAUCCCCAGUGUGUCAGUUGUGGAUCUGACCUGCCACUUGGAGAAAGCUGCUAAAUACAAUGUCAAGAAGAUGGUGAAACAGGCAUUAGAGGGCCCCUCGGGGCAUGGUGGGAUCCACUGAGGACCAGGUUGUCUCCUGCAACUUUAACAGAGACACCCACUCUGCCAACUUCAAUGCCAGGGCUGGCACUGCCAUCAAUGACCACUGUGUCAGGCUCCAUUUCUAGUAUGACAAUGAAUUUGGCUAUCGCAACCGAGUGGUGGACUUUAUGGUCCAUAUGGUUUCCAAGGAGUAAGAGCCCCUGGACCACCACCCCCAGCAAGAGGAAGAGAGAAGCCCUCAGCUGCUGGGAAGUCCUUACCCCAACUCAUCCCCCAACACACUGAGAAUCUCUUGGUCUCCACAGUUUCUAUCUCAGACCUCCUGAAGAAGUGGAGGGGCUCGGGAAGCCCAAACUUGUCACAUACCAUCAAUAAAGUAUAACUGUACCCAGCCAGAAAAAAAAAUCAUAGGAAUAAAAUGAGUAUGUUUGAAUGUGUUUGUAUGUCAUGAGACCUGAAAUCAUAAAACUCCUAGAAUGGAACACA
Canis lupus familiaris (dog) is the source of this 1493-nucleotide long non-coding RNA. RefSeq lists it as uncharacterized. The transcript has 2 exons. The record is from RefSeq and is a predicted model, not a curated record. NCBI's taxonomy places the organism in Eukaryota, Metazoa, Chordata, Mammalia, Carnivora, Canidae.